Molecule: ribosomal RNA, 433 nt
Filed under: uncultured bacterium
Lineage: Bacteria
Description: partial 16S ribosomal RNA
Rfam family: Bacterial small subunit ribosomal RNA
Source: RNAcentral
AACGAACGCUGGCGGCAUGCCUAACACAUGCAAGUCGAACGAGACCUUCGGGUCUAGUGGCGCACGGGUGCGUAACGCGCGGGAACCUGCCCUUAGGUUCGGAAUAACUCCCCGAAAGGGGUGCUAAUACCGGAUAAUGUCUUCGGACCAAAGAUUUAUCGCCUUUGGAUGGGCCCGCGUUGGAUUAGCUAGUUGGUAGGGUAAAAGCCUACCAAGGCGACGAUCCAUAGCUGGUCUGAGAGGAUGAUCAGCCACACUGGGACUGAGACACGGCCCAGACUCCUACGGGAAGCAGCAGUGGGGAAUAUUGGACAAUGGGCGAAAGCCUGAUCCAGCAAUGCCGCGUGAGUGAUGAAGGCCUUAGGGUUGUAAAGCUCUUUUACCCGGGAUGAUAAUGACAGUACCGGGAGAAUAAGCUCCGGCUAACUCCGUG